Molecule: non-coding RNA, 1645 nt
Organism: Cricetulus griseus (Chinese hamster)
Lineage: Eukaryota; Metazoa; Chordata; Mammalia; Rodentia; Cricetidae
Source: RefSeq, a predicted model, not a curated record
CCCCGCUGUGAGGGACGCAGAGAGGGGUUCCAGGCCCCUCUGACUCUGACUGACUCCACCUCAGAGCAGCGCUGUCCCAGACCCGCGAAGCUGCACGGAUGGCGACGGAGCGUGGGGUCGACUCAGGCGUCCCUGCGCCUUCCCUGCCCGCGCGGGGAGCUCCGCUGCUCACCCUCCUCCUGCGCACGGCGGGCGAGCGAGCGAGCGGGCACGGAGGGGCCUCUUUACCCUCCUGAAGCAAUUUUAUGAGAAAGCACCUGAAGCCUGGUGUUGCCCAGGAGGACCAGGGCCUCACUCUGCAUUCCUGCCUGGUCCUGAACUGACUCUGCAAACCAGACUAGCCUCAAGAUCAGUUCAUCUCUGCUGCAGAGUGCUAAGAUUAAAGGCCUGCACCACCUGCCUGCCUUCUGUCAAUUUCACACAUUUAUGAAUGAAAUAAACAGAAACUUGUGGCACACGACCGCACUCUGUACUGAGGACACUGUGGCAGGAGGAUCACUGUGAGGUGUUACUGUAGUUUCUUGUCCCGCCAGGUCCCACCUCCACUUCAGCCCCAAACAAAAAAUAUUAAUUAUUAAACUGUUGACUGACGACUAGGCUUCUUAUUGGCUAGCCCUGUCUUAAUUAUUAACCUAUUUCUGUUAAUCUAUGUAUUGCCACAAGGCUGUGUCUUACCAGUAGUCUGGCAUUUGUUACUCCUUUUGCCGCAUGGUAUCUUCUCUUGGCCCUCUCUGCCUACCUUUCUCAGAAUUCUCAUCUCUUGGCCCCUCCUAUCUUCCUGCCUCCAUUGGCCAAACAGUGUUUUAUUCAUCAACCAAUAAGAAACAUUUAUACAGAAGGACACCCCCUAUCAGUGAGGUUUAGGCAAGCCUGGGUUAUAGGAGAGACCUUAUUUCAAAAGAGCAAAUGACAGAGCAUAUGCAGCCUCUGCCAUCCCACCUUUUUGGGCCAUUAGUGUCAGCCUUUGUCCUGGGAUCCAUAUGGGACUAUGGCACCCUGGCCUUUGCCCCCAAGUCCACAAUCAACUUUGAUCUCCCUGCCUGGAAUCUAUGACAGUGCUGAAGCGGCAGCCAGCAGCAGUUGAAAUGGGAUGAAGAAUCCCUGCCCAGCUGCUUUACUGCUAUGCUUUGUCGGGAAUUUUUAUUCUGUGUCCUGCUUGCAGGCCUUCCACUGAGGAUUCUUGAAACCCACACUAACACUUAACUGGCAUGCUCAAUCUGGUUCAGUAUAUGAUUUCUGCUUCAGUAAUCUACUUUCCCAGGGCUCCUCGUUUCUGCCUUAAUUUGGAAAAUAGCAGGUGGAGUCACGUGCUAACCCUGCUUACAGUCAUUGACAGCCCCUGGAUGCACUAGAGGUGCGUGUGGUAUAUUGUCACAAUCUAUAAACAAUGCUAAAAUGACUGGAAGCAGAAUUUUGAUGGGUGACUAAAGAUGGCUUUCUCUUCCCAGAUGACCCUCCUGGGGUCAUAUAUCUUCACAUGCCAGCACACUGAAUAUAAGCUUAUGGUUAAUUUACACCAUCUUACUUGUGAACAUGGGAACCAAGAUUCAAAAUUCUAUAGUGACUCUUGCUCUUUUGAGGGUGCAUUGAGUGGGUGUGCUUUGACUGCCAAGUUGUCAUCAUUAGAAAUAUUAAGUAAAACCAU